GUGCUGAGGGAGUCGAGUGAAGACUUGGGUUGGGUGCCACGGGAGCUGCUUGGGAGAACCGAGAGGAGCUUGCUGGGAAAGAAGGGUGAAGGGCAUUUGAGGGAUGGGGUUGGAGGCAUAGCACAUGCACGGAGACAGAGCUGAAGAGUCCUGGCAUGGCGGGAUGACCUGUGUGGGGGCGGAACUCCAAGGAUGCGUUAAGAAGGGUGGAUGUGCUUAAGCAGGACAGUGACGGGUAAGGCAGUGUGGGAGGAAGGCCCGGCAGCAGCCCAGAAGCGAGCCUGGAGCAGUCAGACUGUAAGGGGGCCCAGGCAGUGCCUGCAGGCUUCUCUGUCCAUGAGGAUUCUCCAGGCAGGAAUACUGGAGUGGGUUGCCACGUCCUCCUCCAGGGGAUCUCCCCAACCCAGGGAUUGAACCCAUGUCUCUAUGUCUACCUGCAUUGGCAGGUGGGGUCUUUACCACCAGCACCACCUGGAAAGCCCUUACUCAGUCUGGAGGGACAGCUGUUUAAGUGAGAGGCUGACCAUCCUUAGUCAAGGCAUCCGAAAGGUGGUAAUGAUGACCCUGUAUGCAAGACAGCAAAAGAGAAGACUCUUGAGAGUCCCUUGGACUGCAAGGAGAUCCAACCAGUCCAUUCUGAAGGAGAUCAGUCCUGGGUGUUCUUUGGAAGGACUGAUGCUAAAGCUGAAACUCCAGUACUUUGGCCACCUCAUGCAAAGA
This is a long non-coding RNA of Bos taurus (domestic cattle), 720 nucleotides long. The record is from Ensembl. Lineage: Eukaryota; Metazoa; Chordata; Mammalia; Artiodactyla; Bovidae.